This 427-nucleotide ribosomal RNA is filed under the name uncultured bacterium. Its description in RNAcentral is "bacterial SSU rRNA". It matches the Rfam family "Bacterial small subunit ribosomal RNA", at positions 355 to 774 of the family's 1533-position model. The record is from RNAcentral.
UGGGGAAUUUUGGACAAUGGGCGCAAGCUUGAUCCAGCAAUGCCGCGUGCAGGGUGAAGGCCUUCGGGUUGUAAACUGCUUUUGUACGGAACGAAACGGCUCUGUCUAAUACAUGGGGCUAAUGACGGUACCGUAAGAAUAAGCACCGGCUAACUACGUGCCAGCAGCCGCGGUAAUACGUAGGGUGCGAGCGUUAAUCGGAAUUACUGGGCGUAAAGCGUGCGCAGGCGGUUUUGUAAGACAGAGGUGAAAUCCCCGGGCUCAACCUGGGAACUGCCUUUGUGACUGCAAGGCUGGAGUGCGGCAGAGGGGGAUGGAAUUCCGCGUGUAGCAGUGAAAUGCGUAGAUAUGCGGAGGAACACCGAUGGCGAAGGCAAUCCCCUGGGCCUGCACUGACGCUCAUGCACGAAAGCGUGGGGAGCAAACA